RNAcentral lists this long non-coding RNA (2272 nucleotides) under Homo sapiens (human). The record is from RNAcentral. Lineage: Eukaryota; Metazoa; Chordata; Mammalia; Primates; Hominidae.
AGAAGGAAAACAAAAAGAUGCCUUAGUUCCAUGGAAGGCUGCUCUGAGGGAUAUUCUGCUAAGUGGCAUCCAGACAGAACACGGAGAAGCUCCUCGAUUGCGUCUCUCCCCUGCCUUAUUGUUUCCUGCUGCCCUUGACACUCCACUGUUUGGGCUAUUGCAAGGUUAGAAGGAUGCUCACGACCAACGAGACAGAGUCCUUUGCAUAUGGCCUUGAGGAUGUGUGCUUCUGAAAUCUAACAAACAGAGUUUCGCUCUUGUUGCACAGGCUGGAGUGCAAUGGCACGAUCUUGGCUCACCUCCUCCUCUGCGUCCUGUGUUCAAGCGAUUCUCCUGCCUCUCCUGGGAUUACGGGCAUGUGCCACCAUGCCCGGCCAAUUUUGAACACAGACAGCCUGCGUCCAGAAUCCCUGCUCUUUCCCUGUAUACCACAUGGCCUCCUGUGCACGAUCCAGAGGAGACAUCCAGGUGUUGGAUACAUGGGCCCGGGGUGCAGCAGAAAAGCAUUGCCCCAGUGCACAGCCAUAUCCAUAUGCCGUUGGCGCAUGGAUUGGAACAAAACCAUGGAACUCGAUGAAGGUAUGGCCUAAGAAGAUCAAGAAGCUAAGGAGGACCAGCAUUAUAGGGUGGGCCAGAAGAGUAGAUCCAACAAGUGUUAACCUAUGGGAGAAUGUCAGGGUAAAGCAGGUUGUCAACAUGACCCUAUGCCAUAGAGACAUCAGGGCUGAUUAAUGUAUCAGAGAAAGACAGAGAGAGUAAAGGAGAGAGAGACUGAUAUGGUUUGGCUGUGUCCCCACCCAAAUCUCAUCUUGAAUUGUAAUCCCCAGGAUUGCCACAUAUCAAGGGGGAGGGAUCCAGUGGGAGGUUAUUGGAUCAUGGAGGUGGUUUCCCCAUGCUGUUCUCGUGAUAGUGAGUGAGUUCUCAUGAGAUCCGAUGGUUUUAUAAGGCAGUUUUCCCUGCUCUUGCACGCUGUCUCUGUCUCCUGCCAUCAUGUAAGACAUGCCUCUUCCCCUUCUGCCAUGAUUGUAAGUUUCCUGACAUCUCCCCAGCCAUGGGGAACUGAGUCAGUUAAAUCUCUUUUCUUUAUAAAUUGCUCAGUCUCAGGUAGUAUCUUUAUAGCAAUGUGAGAAUGGAGUAAUACACAGGCUCAGAAAAGUUCCUUGCAUUUGGCAAUUGAGAGAAUAAUGGGAUGAUGACUUCUGUCAGAAAAGUUUGUGAUCAGGAGGUGGGGGUGGAAUUCUGACUUGGGUGGGCCAGAGGAACUCAACGGUGGAAAAAUAAGUGGUGACAUCAUAAAUUGACACCUGUGAGAGAUGGCGGAUGAACUGAAUAAAGUGUAGGGUAUUUAGCUUGUCAUGAUUGUCCCUGAGAAACAGGUUGCAGGAAUGCUACUUGCAUUGAAUAAUUUUAUUAGUUAUCAUUUAAUUCCUUUAAAUUGAUUUCUUUAGUUCCCUAUCAGAGACAAGCUCAAACUACACACAAUGAAUACAUCACGGACUUCUCCUUCUCUUUAUUUCGCUUCACUCUGGGCAAAUGAAAGACAACAAAUAAAUAUUGUGGAUCUUGGUAUUUAAUGGUUUAUAAUCAGAUAAUUGUUCACUGUCCAGUACUCACUGUUCCUAAUGCCCCCUAAUCCUUCAGGCAUCACAGAUAUGAAGUGGAUUUGGUAUCUGAUGCCUUUCUUUUUUUUGUUUGUCAAAUGAAUGAAUGAAUGAACCUAGUCCAAUCAUCUGUUUCCAAAAAGGAUGCCGCAAAGUACACUGGAAUAAGAUUCUAACUUCAGGCCUCUGAAUUAUCUGAAAGCCUACUCUAGUGUUUAAUCACCUGAAUCAUCAGGGAGUUUCUUCUUCAAUUUCAUGUAAUUAUAAUAUUUUCAAACCAUUUGCUCUAGAUUGGCCUUCAGGAGAGGGCCAGAAAUCAGCCUCCUGCAGCCUGCAAAGUUGGUGCCAGGCUGCUCCAUUGCUCAUUCCUGGAUUCCUGGAUGGAAACUCUCAACCCAACCUCAUGCUGCCUCCAAAGCCUCCCUCCCCUGCCACGUGUCUUCUCCCUCCAGGCCUCCACUUGGGCAGGGUGAAUGGGCUCUCCUCUCACCAGUAUCUGCUCUCAACAGCAGCAGCCUCUUCUCCUUCGCUAAAUCAAUCCCUAAAUCAAUCCCCAUCUACUUUGCAUUUGAAAAACAUGAAAAAAACGUGGCCCUUGAUAUCACCUGUUUUAUUUUUUGUUUUUGUUGUUUACGCCUUUGCAAUUUUUUCCCUCUAUAAUUGUAGUAGGG